Molecule: long non-coding RNA, 5195 nt
Filed under: Mus musculus (house mouse)
Lineage: Eukaryota; Metazoa; Chordata; Mammalia; Rodentia; Muridae
Description: RIKEN cDNA A330023F24 gene (A330023F24Rik)
Rfam family: mir-29 microRNA precursor family (bases 4332-4402)
Source: RNAcentral
GGUAGGGUGGCAGUGGAAGGCUUAAUCAGAGUGGAUUCUGGAACAUUCAGGACUGCGGCACCUUGUAUCUGGACAGGGAUUUGGGACUGUGCAGGAGACGACUGGUGGUCCAGUGUGGCUUAAGGACUUGAUGGCGUAACCCACUUCUUCCACGGAGGAGACUGGGGAGAUGGAUUUGAAGAGGAUUGAACAAAUUGGAAGAAAAUAUUUGUCCUCUGCUUUGGUGUCAGAAAAGGGAAUUUUCCAAUCUGCCACACCUCAGUGUUGCGGCAAAAAUAAUUCUUGGCUCCCCUGGAAACUAUCGGGCAAGGUAGGGCAGAACUGCUGCUGCUGUCGCCAUUACCCUGGGCUUCCUAUUGAAUGGGCUGCUCCCAAGUGAACAGAUCUGCGUUGAUGCUCUGGUCGUCCAAAAGUCCUCAAAUCAGCUCUGAGCUGAGCCCACUAUUGGAAGAAUCUGCCUUUUGGAAGUUGACGCUACCUUGUGCUUGGGAAGAUUUGGCUCAAGCACUCUUUCCCUGCCUGGAGACUUAUUGGGGAUGUAAAAUGAGAGAAUAGCAGGUGACCAGCAAAUUAGGGGAGGAUUAAAUACUUCCAAGUUGUCACAGCAAGAAGAAAGAGGAAUAUCUCAGGAGUUUGACCUCAAGCCUACAAAGUGGUGGUAUUCUACCAAGAUGUCUGUAUGCUUCAUGAUGCUGUUGAGUCCUGUGGGAGGAGAAUCUGAGCACCCUGAUGCCCCUUAUCCCCAAUACUGCACUGUGGAGCUGAGAGUGACAACAGCCAAGAAUUCUGUAGAGUACAGCUCCAUCUGUAAGUAGAUGACAAUUUCUUGGCAACACAGGCUCAGCUGAGGAUGGUGUUUGUGCAUCUAAGCCAUCAUGCUAGAGCAGUUUGCCUACAUUUUUGUGGAACGGCAAAGAGGACCUGCUUGACCACCCUUCUUUCUGUGGGUACUGAAAGAUGAAAAGUCAUGCUGGAUGAGGUUGCUGAGGUGGGAUGAGGGCCAGUAGGAUGCCAUGUAUAGAGAAGGAAAGACUUGGAGCACUCCAUGUGGCCAAAGCUCAAAUCCUAAUGGCCUUGGAUGUCUAAGACCUUGGAUGUCACUUUGCUAGAUUCACUAGCCACAGCUUUCUGGCCACAUGUUCUACCUAGCCUGACAGCUAAAGACAAAAUGUCCUGGAUGCUGGGCCCAGGCUGCUGCUGAAAGUGACAAGCCAGGCACCCUCUUCAGUGCACAUAAGCAGGUAGUCUUUUUUGGAGGUAAGAUGUUCCUUUUUCUUUCAAAAAGGCCUUCCCUAACCUUCUCUCCCAAAGAUGAAUGAGUUGGGAACUCCUAAAUCAGCCUUCAAAGGCAGGCAAAGAAAUGGAUGACAGGCUUCUGGCACCCUCCCCCACCCUGGCUGGAAUUCUCAUCAUGCACAUAGCUGUGACUCAGCACUCACUGCUGGGUCAGGAGAGAGAAGCUAUUGCCUGGCUGGAACCUUCCCACAUUCUGCAUGUGAGCACAUCGAACAGCACAGGCUGGGCCAGCAGGGUGAGGUUCCUGGGGCAAGUAUUUUUCUCCUCUAACCCAUAUUCUUCCCACAUUUUAGGGAUUUCUGUUCUGGGCCCAGGGUAUUUAGGACUCUAAAAACCAUUGCAUCAGCCAUAGACUAAAGUAUACGUAGUCUUUUUCUUCUUUGCUUUUAACCAGUGGCCCAUGAAAAGUGUUCAACCUUUAUUUGUACUGUUUGGCUUUCAUGGGUUGGGUUUUCUAUGUGUUAAUUUUAUAUCUAGACAGAAUAUGACUUUUCAAGAUUACUGUACCUCUCUUGCAUGCUGUUGUUGUCUCUGGCUGUGUGUAUACGUGUGUUCUGACCAGUUUUCCCUAGCUUGUCUUUACAGAUGAAGACACUGAAGCCAUUCAAGACUAUGGCAGGGCCCUGUUCUCAGCAUAUAGACAAGCAGGUGUUCUAAUUUACCAAGGAGUGACAUUGCCUCUCCCUGUCUGCCCCUGCCUUACCAAAGGAGUGACCUGUCAUGGGAGGGUAGAAUGGCUUCCAGAGAGAAAUAAGUAUAGGAACAGAUGGAGGCUGAAGAGUGGCGUCUCAGACUUCUUACCUGCUCUGUGGCCUGUUCAGAACUGAAAAGUGAGGCAGGGUUUCUUUUCUAGACAACUCUAUUAAGCCCAGUAGCAUAAAGUUUACUUGAAGCCACUCAGUUGAGAAGGGAGAUCCCAUUAUUCUCACUGAGAGCAGAGCCCUAACAGCCCUAAGGUUUUCAAGGGCUGCCCUCUUAGACAUUCAGGUAACUCUCAGGCCUGGUGCCAGAGAGCUACAGUCUUCCGGAGUUUAUCAAAUCAUCCAGCUAUUCCAAAGUAGUGAAGGAUCACCACCUUGUUUCAGAAAAGGGACACUGCUCAGCUGACUACAGAAAUCCUGCUUUUAUAGGAUGCUGAAGACUGAGUGGGAUUGGAUGAACAUAAGGUUUAAAUGCUAGGACUACUUUCCCUCCUCUGUAGUUCACUGCUUAAAUUAUCUUUCAGUGAUUCUUAUUUACAGAAAACAGGGUUUGCAGUCCAUGGAUGUAAUCCUAGUCCUUCACUGGUAGUUUCCCCUUGCCAGGCCCUUUAUUUGCUGGAUAGGAAGAAAGGAAUUAGCUUCAUGGCAUGCUGAGGACCAAAAGAAACAGGUGUUUUCUAAAUGAUAGCAAACUGGAAUAGCCUGAGGGAAAGCUUUCUAGAGCUGAGAUGGCUGACAGAGGAGGUGGAGGAUUGAUAAAAGGAGAUGCCAGCACAAGCAGAACCUUCUGGGAGGAAAGGUGUGCCCUGGAUCCCUGCAGGAUCUCUCUCCUUAGCAUAGAGGGAGGGGAUUGGGGGAUGGUAGAGGAAGUUGCUAAGAAAAUUAGGCUGAAAUGGAAAUCAGAAGAGUUGAAUAUUAUCAUAUGCAAAUCUCACCUUCCCCUUCAUUUACAGGAUUUUGACCCUUGUUAAUAACUGCCAUCUAAUCUAUUUAUGACCUAAAGCCCUCCCUAUCAUGGGUUAGAGUUCCUAACCCUCAGGCUCUAAUUUUGCCAACCAAUGUCAGUGUCACUCAGAAACCCAGUGUAUAGAUCUUCCAGCACUCAUCUGCAGCUAAGGCCCUGGAAAGCCCCAGGGAGGCUGCUGGGCCUUCUGUUUCUCCUCUGGCUGGCCCAGUUUCUGAGAAGUCAGUGUCAGCAUUGCUAGGCUUCAUUGCUAUCAUCUUCUCUAUUGCUGGAAAGAAUAAAGGGGCACCAAUGAGGCAAAAGAACAAAAGCAGGUCCUCCUAGACUACUUGACCUCUUGCAGUACCAACGAUGUGUUCUCAUCUUCACCCAGGGAUAGCAUGUUUACAGUGAGUCUCCCAUCCAGAUUGUCUGAGCUAAAUCCCCCUCCCCAGUCUAGCUCUGAGUUCAGUUCAAGAGAAAAGAGGUCACAGUCAAGCUGUGGAUCAAGCAGCAACAGUGGGCAGAGGGAAAGGAAUAUAGACAUUAGCUCAUCGUAUCCUGUGACUACAGUUUCUUGUGCAGACAUCGGAAUAAUAACCUACUUCACUGGAAUCUUGGAACAAUUGAAUAUUGUGACUCUGGGGAUACUCACAUUAUAUUUGCUCUAUUACCCCAAAACAGCCAGGAGCCAUAAAAAAAUAUGCUUGUAUCUGGAAGCCAAAAAGUUUUUCUGGGGAACCUGAAAAAUACAGCUCUACUCUUUGUCUCCUUUCAAAGAUGACAGUUGUGACAUCAGAGGAAAUAUACAGCAAAAAUGCAGUACAAUGUGAAACAUAGCUUGUGAAUCUUAUUUUUAGGUACAUUUUUAAAACAUACCUUGUUUUGUGUUAGAGGGUUAUCUGUAUAAUACAGUGUUAAGAUACCAGCUUUUAAAAAGACAUUAGGGGUUAAAUCAAAUUGCUAGCCUACAGGGUCAUGGGAUAGAGAGCAGGAAGGAACAUACUCUUUUUGAAUAAUACUUGUGGAAGAGUUGUCCUGGCACAGGUGACUUACUUGGGUUCAGUUGUUAACAUCUCAUAGGUCAUUGUCAUUGUCUUGAACAAGUGACAUAUCUACCGACACUAUGCAUCUUGGGAAAUUACAUAAAUUCAAGACAUUACAAAUGUACAUAUGUUGAAUGGAUUUGGUUCUUUUAUUUCAUUGUGUAUGAUGAUUUCUAAUGACUAAUGUGAAGUCACACAGGAAACAAGCUUUGCAUUGUUUUUGUCUGCUCAAAGUGUUGGCUGUAUGGCUGUCAUCUGCGUCUGACAGGCAAAAUGAUUCUCAGGGCUGAGGCUGGUUCUUCUGACUGCACAUCUCUGCUUUCUUCAGUGAGAUCCUCUUCUUCUGGAAGCUGGUUUCACAUGGUGGCUUAGAUUUUUCCAUCUUUGUAUCUAGCACCAUUUGAAAUCAGUGUUUUAGGAGUAAGAAUUGCAGCACAGCAGAGGGUAGACUACAGAGGAACAGCUGUACACAGAACUGGCUCUCUCCUUCGAGAAAUCAAGGGAAGACUUGAAUAGUGACAUUUGCUCUUGAGUCUGUUUGGUUUAGAGGCAGUGAUAGUGAGAAAGUUUUUGUGUUCAGAAUGUAUAAGGGUAUAAUCAGGAAGUGGUCUACUUUAUUCAGCAUUCCAUGGGUGGAAGAGGGUUCCUUGGGCCUGCACUGUUCAUUAAUUGUAGCAAGGAAGGGGUAAGAGCUCUGUAUGUGGAGGACUGCUUCAUUCACAUCAGUAUGGCUCGUCUGAACCUGGAAGAUCCAUGGAGCACUCAUUCAGUCCUGGUUGCAGCACAGCUGAAAUCAGACUGUCACCUGCCUUGAGAUUCAGACCUGAAGAACACCACCAGUCGGUCCAUCUCUUACACAGGCUGACCGAUUUCUCCUGGUGUUCAGAGUCUGUUUUUGUCUAGCACCAUUUGAAAUCGGUUAUGAUGUAGGGGGAAGAGCACCAGCCUCAGAACCUUGUGGUGUCAGCAUCAGCAUCAGCCUAUCACUUCCUACGUGGGCAGAGUGGAAAAGGAAGAUCACAGUUUCCUAACUUCUUUAAUUCGUAUGUAUGUGGCUGCCAAGGUUAGAGAUCACUUAGUGGGGGGUUUUAAUUGUUAUAAUUUAUUGUUGUAAAAUAUUCUCAGUUACAAUUUCUGACAUGUAGUACUGUUAUAAACUAAGUACUGUUAAACGUUGGCUUUAAUAAAUAAUUUGCUACAUUCAAUCUA